This 463-nucleotide ribosomal RNA is filed under the name uncultured bacterium. RNAcentral's name for it is "partial 16S ribosomal RNA". It matches the Rfam family "Bacterial small subunit ribosomal RNA", at positions 28 to 507 of the family's 1533-position model. The record is from RNAcentral.
GAUGAACGCUGACAGAAUGCUUAACACAUGCAAGUCUUUGGUGAAGCUGUGCUUGCACAGCCUAGCCAAGGCGGACGGGUGAGUAACGCGUAAGGAACUUGCCCUGCAGUCAGGGAUAACAGACGGAAACGACUGAUAAGACCUGGUAAAGUCAGGCGGACUCAUGUCCAGCCUGAUGAAAAGAGAUGCUGCAGGAGAGCCUUGCGUCCUAUUAGCUUGUUGGUGGGGUAACGGCCCACCAAGGCAAUGAUAGGUAGCCGGCCUGAGGGGGUGGACGGCCACAAGGGGACUGAGAUACGGCACUUACUCCUACGGGAGGCAGCAGUGGGGAAUAUUGGACAAUGGGGGCAACCCUGAUCCAGCAAUUCUGUGUGCACGAUGAAGGUUUUCGGAUUGUAAAGUGCUUUCAGCAGGGAAGAAAAAAAUGACGGUACCUGCAGAAGAAGCGACGGCUAAAUACGUG